This 379-nucleotide ribosomal RNA is filed under the name uncultured eukaryote. RNAcentral describes it as "partial 18S ribosomal RNA". It matches the Rfam family "Eukaryotic small subunit ribosomal RNA", at positions 592 to 976 of the family's 1831-position model. The record is from RNAcentral.
CAAUAGCGUAUAUUUAAGUUGUUGCAGUUAAAAAGCUCGUAGUUGGAUUUCGGGUAGGAUUUGCCGGUCCGUCUUUGAGAUGUGUACUGGUAAGUCCUAUCUUCUUGUCGGGGACCAGCUCCUGGGCUUCACUGUCCGGGACUGGGAGCCGACGAAGUUACUUUGAGUAAAUUAGAGUGUUCAAAGCAAGCCUACGCUCUGAAUAUAUUAGCAUGGAAUAACACGAUAGGACUCUGGCUUAUCUUGUUGGUCUGUGAGACCAGAGUAAUGAUUAAGAGGGACAGUCGGGGACAUUCGUAUUUCAUUGUCGGAGGUGAAAUUCUUGGAUUUAUGAAAGACGAACUUCUGCGAAAGCAUUUGUCAAGGAUGUUUUCAUUAA